RNAcentral lists this ribosomal RNA (279 nucleotides) under uncultured archaeon. Its description in RNAcentral is "partial 16S rRNA". It matches the Rfam family "Archaeal small subunit ribosomal RNA", at positions 1047 to 1325 of the family's 1478-position model. The record is from RNAcentral.
GAGACCCACGCCCACAGUUGCCAGCGUACCCUCCGGGGUGACGGGUACACUGUGGGGACCGCCGCUGCUAAAGCGGAGGAAGGAAUGGGCAACGGUAGGUCAGUAUGCCCCGAAUAUCCCGGGCUACACGCGGGCUACAAUGGUUGGUACAAUGGGUAUCUACCCCGAAAGGGGAUGGAAAUCUCCUAACGCCAAUCUUAGUCCGGAUUGAGGGCUGCAACUCGCCCUCAUGAAGCUGGAAUCCGUAGUAAUCGCACUUCAACAGAGUGCGGUGAAUAC